Molecule: ribosomal RNA, 450 nt
Filed under: uncultured bacterium
Lineage: Bacteria
Description: partial 16S ribosomal RNA
Rfam family: Bacterial small subunit ribosomal RNA
Source: RNAcentral
CCUACGGGUGGCUGCAGUCGAGAAUCUUCGGCAAUGGGCGCAAGCCUGACCGAGCGACGCCGCGUGCGGGAUGAAGGCCUUCGGGUUGUAAACCGCUGUCAGAGGGGAGGAAAUGCAUGGGAGUUCUCUCUCAUGUUUGACCUAUCCUCAGAGGAAGUACGGGCUAAGUUCGUGCCAGCAGCCGCGGUAAUACGAACCGUCGGAUUCACAUUCGGUUUCACGUGGGUUAAAGCCUGCGAAAGCGGCUUGUGAAAGCCCGCGGCUCAACCGAGGAAUUGCGACCAAAACUACCUGGCUUGAGGAAGAUAGAGGUAAGCGGAACUAAUGGUGGAGCGGUGAAAUGCGUUGAUAUCAUUAGGAACACCUGUGGCGAAAGCAGCUUACUGGGUCUUUUCUGACGCUGAUGCACGAAAGCUAGGGGAGCGAACGGGAUUAGAUACCCCAGUAGUC